CCUACGGGCGGCAGCAGUGGGGAAUAUUGCACAAUGGCCGGAACGCUGAUGCAGCGACGCCGCGUGAGUGACGAAGUAAUUCGUUAUUUAAAGCUUUAUCAGCCAGGGAGAAAAUGACGGUACCUGAGUAAGAAGCCCCGUCUAACUACGUGCCAGCAGCCGCGGUAAUACGGAGGGGGCUAGCGUUAUCCGGAUUUACUGGGUGUAAAGGGGGCGUAGACGGCAGUGCAAGUCUGGAGGGAAAGGCGGGGGCUCAACCCCCGGACGGCUCUGGAAACUGGACGGCUGGAGUGCAGGAGAGGUAAGUGGAAUGCGUAGUGUAGCGGUGAAAUGCAUAGAUAUUAGGAGGAACACCAGUGGCGAAGGCGGCUUACUGGACGGUAACUGACGCUGAGGCUCGAAAGCGUGGGGAGCAAACAGGAUUAGAUACCCCAGUAGUC
This 440-nucleotide ribosomal RNA is filed under the name uncultured bacterium. RNAcentral describes it as "partial 16S ribosomal RNA". It matches the Rfam family "Bacterial small subunit ribosomal RNA", at positions 338 to 795 of the family's 1533-position model. The record is from RNAcentral.